RNAcentral lists this long non-coding RNA (786 nucleotides) under Nicotiana benthamiana. RNAcentral describes it as "long non-coding RNA (NBEN_LNC011609)". The record is from RNAcentral. Lineage: Eukaryota; Viridiplantae; Streptophyta; Magnoliopsida; Solanales; Solanaceae.
UGAUGGGUCUGAAUGAAGCUAAUAUAGGGGUCAGGAGUAAUCUUUUGAUGAUGCAGCCUCCUCCUUCUCUUGACAAUGUUUAUAAUAUGGUCCUCAAUGAUGAGAAGCAAAGACAAAUUCAGUCUUCCUCUCACUUUGAUCCAGCCUCUGUCUCUUUCAAUGUACAUACAAACAGGCAGCCUGUUGGAUUUAACAAGACCACAGUGUCUAUUCCUCCUCCUCCUUUUAGAUAGAGAGUCAAUUUUGACCAACAAAGAGUCAAUUUUGACCAAGCCAGGGGACCUUUAUUUUGUAGAUACUGUAAAAAAUCUGGACACUUAAUUGAUAAGUGCUUCAAGAUCCAUGGGUAUCCAAAAAGUGCCACCUUUAACAAGGGAAGGAGGCCUGCUGCUGCUCAUCUGAGUACUAGUCUGGAUUCUUCUAUUUCUGAUGGUCUGUUAUCUGUUCCUCAAGGGAAUCCUCCUGCUGGUCAUCACUCUAUUGCAAGACUGGAUGGCCAAAGCUCUGUGAUACCAGGGUUGAGCAGACCUGAUUAUGACCAGUUGAUGAACUUGUUACACCAGACCAAGUUGGGGGAAUCCACUGCUCAAACUCCUCCUCCCAUAUAUGCUGCAAACUUUGCUGGUAGACCUGAUUAUGACCAGUUGAUGAACUUGUUACACCAGACCAAGUUGGGGGAAUCCACUGCUCAAACUCCUCCUCCCAUAUUUGCUGCAAACUUUGCUGGUACUAUGUUAACUGAAAACCCUGUAUCUGAUUCCAAAAUUUGCUUGCUUACUUACAUUA